RNAcentral lists this long non-coding RNA (290 nucleotides) under Phoenix dactylifera (date palm). Its description in RNAcentral is "long non-coding RNA (PDAC_LNC011536)". The record is from RNAcentral. Lineage: Eukaryota; Viridiplantae; Streptophyta; Magnoliopsida; Arecales; Arecaceae.
UUUGAGUCGAGUCUUCAUACUCGACUUCAUUAAGGGCUUCAUACUAUGCUGUCUCUUACUAGUUACUAUGCUGUUCUUUCAAGUAUUUCUGGUUUAGCAGAGUCACCACAUUGAGAAAACUAUUUGAGAAAUAUUCACACUCAAUUUCAUAAAGGCUAUUCAUGUGGUAUGAUUCCAAAGCCUACUGUAAGCAAAUUCAGCUGUGACAGAACAAACCUCAUUUCUUUUAAAGUUCACCAUCGACUAAUUCAUCAAGAUAAGCUUGAGAAAGUAAGAGCAACAUAUAAGUU